RNAcentral lists this ribosomal RNA (333 nucleotides) under uncultured Bacteroidota bacterium. Its description in RNAcentral is "bacterial SSU rRNA". It matches the Rfam family "Bacterial small subunit ribosomal RNA", at positions 660 to 994 of the family's 1533-position model. Lineage: Bacteria; Pseudomonadati; Bacteroidota. The record is from RNAcentral.
GGCGGAAUGUGUCAUGUAGCGGUGAAAUGCUUAGAUAUGACACAGAACACCGAUUGCGAAGGCAGCUCACUAAGUUAUUUAUUGACGCUGAGGGACGAAAGCGUGGGUAGCGAACAGGAUUAGAUACCCUGGUAGUCCACGCCGUAAACGAUGUAUACUCGUUGCUAGCGAUACACAGUUAGUGACCAAGCGAAAGUAUUAAGUAUACCACCUGGGGAGUACGAUCGCAAGAUUGAAACUCAAAGGAAUUGACGGGGGCCCGCACAAGCGGUGGAGCAUGUGGUUUAAUUCGAUGAUACGCGAGGAACCUUACCUGGGCUUAAAUGCAGAACG